UCGGCUGCAGGUGUAACAGAUGUAUUCCAUUUCAUCCUUUGAGUCAUCAAUUCAGAGAACCCGUGGCCAAGUCCCGUGCCUCUUAUCGGGAUAAUUACGUGGCUCAUAAAGAAAGGAAGCCUAAGUGGCUCUUGGCUCAACUGUCAGGAUGGCUGUCACCUCCUCCCUUCAGAAGCUCUAAGAUCAAGCUGCAGCUCAGCUGCCAUUUUGUCACUUGCUGAUGCUCUAGCAUUUUCCAUUGGGA
Molecule: long non-coding RNA, 244 nt
Filed under: Chrysolophus pictus (golden pheasant)
Lineage: Eukaryota; Metazoa; Chordata; Aves; Galliformes; Phasianidae
Description: lncRNA (ENSCPIG00010011397.1)
Source: RNAcentral